Ictidomys tridecemlineatus (thirteen-lined ground squirrel) is the source of this 486-nucleotide non-coding RNA. The record is from RefSeq and is a predicted model, not a curated record. Lineage: Eukaryota; Metazoa; Chordata; Mammalia; Rodentia; Sciuridae.
AAUAUCCCCUAUGAUACUGUCUUACUCUCUCAUGAUGCUAGACAAUAGAAGCAUCUCCGAUUUUUACUGAAUGUUAAUAUGAAGUUUAAUGUUCCAGCAUGUCUUCUGCUGUGUACAUUAAUGGUGUGGUUAUGAUUGCUAAGUUAUUUAGCAUAAUCAGUCAGACACAUCCCAACAGAGAAGAUAACUUUAAAAAUCAAAGCGAUCAAUACCUGAAGUUGUGCAAGAUAAUUAAGUACUGGAGAUCAGUUGUACAACAGCCUAACUAUGGUUAACAUUACUGGGCCAUACAUUUAGACAACUUGGUGUUCUUACAAUAGCAUCAACAACAACAAUAAUAACAACAAUAACAACAUCAAUAACAACAAUAAUAAUGAUAAUAACAACAGAAAAGAGUAUAUUAGGCAGUCUAAUGGAACUACUGAAGAAUAUAACAAUGUGUCAUCAUGAAUAAUAAACUAAAAAAAUGCAUACAUGGAUUACAGG